Molecule: long non-coding RNA, 566 nt
Filed under: Salmo salar (Atlantic salmon)
Lineage: Eukaryota; Metazoa; Chordata; Actinopteri; Salmoniformes; Salmonidae
Description: lncRNA (ENSSSAG00000087857.1)
Source: RNAcentral
AGUGUGAGGUAAUACAGUAGGGGGACUGAGAGUGAAGUGGGUUCAGUGAAUGGGGAGGUGCAGUGUGAGGUAAUACAGUAGGGGGAGGUGCAGUGUGAGGUAAUACAGUAGGGGGACUGAGAGUGAAGAAGGUUCAGUGAAUGGGGAGGUGCAGUGUGAGGUAAUACAGUAGGGGGAGGUGCAGUGUGAGAUAAUACAGUAGGGGGACUGAGAGUGAAGAAGGUUCAGUGAAUGGGGAGGUGCAGUGUGAGGUAAUACACUAGGGGGAGGUGCAGUGUGAGGUAAUACAGUAGGGGGAGGUGCAGUGUGAGGUAAUACAGUAGGGGGAGGUGCAGCGUGAAGUAAUACAGUAGGGGGAGGUGCAGUGUGACGUAUUACAGUUGGGGGACUGAGAGUGAAGAAGGUUCAGUGAAUGGGAAGGUGCAGUGUGAGGUAAUACAGUAGGGGGACUGAGAGUGAAGAAGGUUCAGUGAAUGGGAAGGUGCAGUGUGAGGUAAUACAGUAGGGGGAGGUGCAGUGUGAGGUAAUACAGUAGGGGGAGGUGCAGUGUGAGGUAUUACAGUAGG